CGGACGGGUGAGUAACGCGUGGAUAACCUGCCUCACACUGGGGGAUAACAGUUAGAAAUGGCUGCUAAUACCGCAUAAGCGCACAGUACCGCAUGGUACGGUGUGAAAAACCCAGGUGGUGUGAGAUGGAUCCGCGUCUGAUUAGCCAGUUGGCGGGGUAACGGCCCACCAAAGCGACGGUCAGUAGCCGACCUGAGAGGGUGACCGGCCACAUUGGGACUGAGACACGGCCCAA
RNAcentral lists this ribosomal RNA (235 nucleotides) under uncultured bacterium. RNAcentral describes it as "partial 16S ribosomal RNA". It matches the Rfam family "Bacterial small subunit ribosomal RNA", at positions 99 to 334 of the family's 1533-position model. The record is from RNAcentral.